UACAGAGGGUGCGAGCGUUGUCCGGAAUCACUGGGCGUAAAGGGCGCGUAGGCGGCCCGGUGCGCGUGCCGUGAAAGCCCGGGGCUCAACCCCGGGUCGGCGGUGCGGACGGCCGGGCUGGAGCACAUCAGAGGCAGGCGGAAUUCCGGGUGUAGCGGUGGAAUGCGUAGAGAUCCGGAAGAACACCGGUGGCGAAGGCGGCCUGCUGGGGUGUGGCUGACGCUGAGGCGCGAAAGCGUGGGGAGCAAACAGG
RNAcentral lists this ribosomal RNA (253 nucleotides) under uncultured bacterium. RNAcentral describes it as "partial 16S ribosomal RNA". It matches the Rfam family "Bacterial small subunit ribosomal RNA", at positions 524 to 776 of the family's 1533-position model. The record is from RNAcentral.